UGGGGAAUAUUGCACAAUGGGCGCAAGCCUGAUGCAGCCAUGCCGCGUGUGUGAAGAAGGCCUUCGGGUUGUAAAGCACUUUCAGCGAGGAGGAAGGUGGUGAACUUAACACGUUCAUCAAUUGACGUUACUCGCAGAAGAAGCACCGGCUAACUCCGUGCCAGCAGCCGCGGUAAUACGGAGGGUGCAAGCGUUAAUCGGAAUUACUGGGCGUAAAGCGCACGCAGGCGGUUUGUUAAGUCAGAUGUGAAAUCCCCGGGCUCAACCUGGGAACUGCAUUUGAAACUGGCAAGCUAGAGUCUCGUAGAGGGGGUAGAAUUCCAGGUGUAGCGGUGAAAUGCGUAGAGAUCUGGAGGAAUACCGGUGGCGAAGGCGGCCCCCUGGACGAAGACUGACGCUCAGGUGCGAAAGCGUGGGGAGCAAACAGGAUUAGAUAACCCUGGUAGUCCACGCUGUAAACGAUGUCGAUUUUGGAGGUUGUGCCCUUGAGGCGUGGCUUCCGGAGCUAACGCGUUAAAUCGACCGCCUGGGGAGUACGGCCGCAAGGUUAAAACUUAAAUGAAUUGACGGGGUCAUAGCU
This 580-nucleotide ribosomal RNA is filed under the name uncultured bacterium. RNAcentral's name for it is "partial 16S ribosomal RNA". It matches the Rfam family "Bacterial small subunit ribosomal RNA", at positions 355 to 926 of the family's 1533-position model. The record is from RNAcentral.